ACUGAAUAGAUACCCGGGUAGUCCACGCUGUAAACGAUGGAUACUAGGUGUAGCCGGUCUCGACCCCGGCUGUGCCGCAGCUAACGCAAUAAGUAUCCCGCCUGGGGAGUAUGGCCGCAAGGUUGAAACUCAAAGGAAUUGACGGGGGCCCGGUACAAGCGGUGGAGGAAGUGGUUUAAUUCGACGCAACGCGAAGAACCUUACCAAGGCUUGACAUCCACAGAAGUUUAUAGAAAUAUAGAUGUGCCCGAAAGGGAAACUGUGAGACAGGUGGUGCAUGGCUGUCGUCAGCUCGUGUCGUGAGAUGUUGGGUUAAGUCCCGCAACGAGCGCAACCCUCGAUGUUAGUUACCAUCAUUUAGUUGGGGACUCUAACGUGACUGCCGGUGAUAAGCCGGAGGAAGGUGAGGACGACGUCAAGUCAUCAUGCCCCUUACGGUCUUGGGCUACACACGUCCUACAAUGGUACAGACAAAGGGCUGCAAGCUAGCGAUAGUGAGCGAAUCCCAUAAACUGUAUCUCAGUUCGGAUUGCAGG
This 536-nucleotide ribosomal RNA is filed under the name uncultured bacterium. RNAcentral describes it as "bacterial SSU rRNA". It matches the Rfam family "Bacterial small subunit ribosomal RNA", at positions 772 to 1304 of the family's 1533-position model. The record is from RNAcentral.